Molecule: long non-coding RNA, 1389 nt
Filed under: Anser brachyrhynchus (Pink-footed goose)
Lineage: Eukaryota; Metazoa; Chordata; Aves; Anseriformes; Anatidae
Description: lncRNA (ENSABRG00000017732.1)
Source: RNAcentral
UGUCUCUGUAAAACAAAAGAAGCAUUUGAUAAAACACCAAAACUUUGAGGAUCAGGGAAAUGUAAUCCUGAAUUACAGCACCCUUUUUCUAGAGUAAGAUUGGUAUGUAGAAGAUCAAAAGGUACAGUGAAAAUGAAAAGGUUUGGUUAUUUGAGUAAGUCAUCUGUUCAAAUUAUAUACAUUCUUACUCUACUUUUGAGAUUAUUAUACUGAAAUUGUAGGCAGCACAGGCCAACUGCUCCUUAAGCAACGGACUGCCAGGAAUAACGGGGGGGUCCCCAAAGGGGCAUGGUGAUGGUCCCACUGCCCCCAGUGAGGGUGCAAAGCAGACUAGUGUCAGUGGAAAAAAAAAGGUUCAGCUGAGGCCCAGCUGGAGUUGAGGUAGGGCCCAGCACUGGAGCCUGGGCCCAAAGUAGCUCCUGCAGGAUGGGGCGGGCCCUGGUCCAGCUUCCUCUCAGUGCUGCCGGGGAGUUGCACUCCAAGGCCACUGCAUGAGGGGACUGCACUUCGCUGUGCUGGCCCUGGGCCCCCCAGACAAACCCCCCAGAGGGGGAUGCACCUGAGGCCGUGACAGCAGCUUCUCCUUUCAUCAGGGCUUGUCCUCACAUCUUACACAGCCCUGGGUGUGCAGACACUUGGCUAUGAAAUACUGGUUGUAGCUGGCGGUGUGCUGGCUCCCAGGCCAGGGCAGGAGCCCCUGUGAGGCUACUUGAGGGGCCUGUAGAGCUGUAUGGGUUGGAGUCACAAAGGAUCAGUCCCUGGACACUAUGGGGCUCACCCAGGCAGGUAUUGCCAGGGAGCAGUUAUUAGAUAAAGGGGUGUGCAGGGUCUCAGAUCACCACUGAAGAGCUUCCAAGGCCAAGUGGAAGAUCUGGGCUGCCCCUGAGAGGCCUCUCGGCUGGAUGAAGGGGUUCAGGUCGCCACAGAGGAAAUCAGAUACCUUUCCAGAAUCAGAUUUGACAAGGCUGAUCUUUCCAGCUUAAACCAAGAAGCAGGGCAUUCCUAUGGUACUGUGCAGCUCAUCACUGAUGGAAAUAAAUGGCAAGUUACUGAAAAUAACCUUCAUCCUCCCUUUAUAGCAAGCCCUUGCUUUGAAUGUCAUCUAGCAUUCUUAGCAAUAGCAUCCUGUAUGUGUUUUGAUGUAAGAUAGCAGAGCUCAAUUGUGUUGAAUGACCUUUUGAAAAUAAUGAUUUGCUGCCUAUUCAUGGUGCCUGUUGCUCUUAAAAUUACCGGCAAUCUUUGCAAUGCUAUCUCUGAACCUUCAAUAUUGCAUUGAUAAGUGUUUAAAGGUGUACUGAAAAUCGUUUUUUCUGAGCUGUGGGACACCCAAGCUGAUAGAAGAUUGUAUAGGUAGACCUGAAAAUAAUAAAUAUUUGUUUUCUAAAAACA